This 217-nucleotide long non-coding RNA is filed under the name Gossypium barbadense (sea-island cotton). RNAcentral's name for it is "long non-coding RNA (GBAR_LNC014071)". Lineage: Eukaryota; Viridiplantae; Streptophyta; Magnoliopsida; Malvales; Malvaceae. The record is from RNAcentral.
UUUGAUGGAGGAGGUGGAGGCCUACGGGCCAUGGAUGGUAGUAGAGAGGAAGAACUGACGUAAUCUUAAGAAAAAACCUGAUAUUCUACCGAAGAAGGUUGAUUUAGGAACGGUUGGGACAAGAUUUGAUGCCUUGAUUCCUGGUGACAAGAACACCACUAAUUUAAGGUAUGAAGAAGGAAAUACGAUUAGGUAAAAAACAAAGUGUUAAGGUUAA